Long non-coding RNA from Cyprinus carpio carpio, 470 nucleotides. The record is from Ensembl. Lineage: Eukaryota; Metazoa; Chordata; Actinopteri; Cypriniformes; Cyprinidae.
GUGUGUUCCGCAGUGAGCAAGCUGCCAAUGGAAAACAAAGGUUUACAUUAUAUUGUGCUGACGACAUCAGGUCUCCAUGACAGCUUAUGGGUACCAGACACCUAGAACAAGAUGGUCCGUUGCGUGUUUGUGAAACAGGACGAGGGAAAGAGAAUAAAAGCAUCAAGAAAAAAUGUAAAUGUGUUUGAGAGCUUGAUGAAAUCAUAUUUGCUGACUGUUUCCCUCUAGAGUGUCUAUUUGGUGCCAUAAUGACGCCCCUCAGUCGAAAGUGUGUAGUGCAGCUCACUUUGUGCUUGGGCUUGUAGUGAUAAUUAGACUGUUAAAUUCGAUUCAUGGAUACACUGUUUUAAAUAUAGAAGUAAAGGGACAGUUCUCACAAAAAUGUAAAUUCUGUCAUCAGUUACUCACCCUAAUAUUGUUUCAAACCUUAUGACCUGCUUCUGUACCUUAUUUCUGGAACACAAAAGGAG